GGGGGGGGGGGGGGGGGGGGGGGGGGCGGGGGGGGGGGGGGCAUUUGGGGUGCCCGUGGCUGGCUACACCGGACGAACAUGAGUGGCGCACGGGUGUGUAACGCGUGGUUAACCGGCCCAUCAGCGGGGGCUAACACUAGGAAACAGGUGCUACUCCCGCAUAAUUCCCUUUCCUGCAUGGUAGAUUGAUGAGCUUCUCUUUUGCUUCACUGAUGUAUGUACCCGCGGUGCAUUCGCUAGUUUGUGGGGUCCAGGCCUACAAAGGCUGCGACGCAUAGACGGCCUGAGAGGGUGAGGGGCCAAACUGGGACUGAGACACGGCCCAGACUCGUGCGGGAGGCAGCAGUAGGGAAUCUUCGGCAAUGGACGCAAGUCGGACCGAGCAACGCCGCGUGAGUGAAGAAGGUUUUCGGAUCGUAAGAAUCUGUUGUUAGAAAAGAACAAGGAUGAGAGUGGAAAGUUCAUCCCUUGUCGGUAUCUAACCAGAAAGACACGGCUAACUACGUG
Molecule: ribosomal RNA, 507 nt
Filed under: uncultured bacterium
Lineage: Bacteria
Description: partial 16S ribosomal RNA
Rfam family: Bacterial small subunit ribosomal RNA
Source: RNAcentral